This is a non-coding RNA of Parelaphostrongylus tenuis, 76 nucleotides long. Lineage: Eukaryota; Metazoa; Nematoda; Chromadorea; Rhabditida; Metastrongylidae. The record is from the annotation of a GenBank genome assembly.
GGUGUCGGUAGUGCAAUUGGUUAAGCACGCGUUCCUAGAAAGGGUGAAAUGUGGGUUCGAGUCCCGCCAGACGUCA